GCGCCAGAAGGGUGAAGGGGUUGCAAUAAACUGGUGGCUGCGACUGUUUAAUAAAAACACAGCACUCUGCAAACACGAAAGUGGACGUAUAGGGUGUGACGCCUGCCCGGUGCCGGAAGAUUAAAUGAUGGGGUGCAAGCUCUUGAUUGAAGUCCCGGUAAACGGCGGCCGUAACUAUAACGGUCCUAAGGUAGCGAAAUUCCUUGUCGGGUAAGUUCCGACCUGCACGAAUGGCGUAACGAUGGCCACACUGUCUCCUCCCGAGACUCAGCGAAGUUGAAGUGUUUGUGAUGAUGCAAUCUACCCGCGGCUAGACGGAAAGACCCCAUGAACCUUUACUGUAGCUUUGCAUUGGACUUUGAACCGAUCUGUGUAGGAUAGGUGGGAGGCUAUGAAACCGGAACGCUAGUUUCGGUGGAGCCGUCCUUGAAAUACCACCCUGGUUUGUUUGAGGUUCUAACCUUGGCCCGUGAUCCGGGUCGGGGACAGUGCAUGGUAGGCAGUUUGACUGGGGCGGUCUCCUCCCAAAGCGUAACGGAGGAGUACGAAGGUACGCUAGGUACGGUCGGAAAUCGUGCUGAUAGUGCAAUGGCAUAAGCGUGCUUAACUGCGAGACCGACA
This 621-nucleotide ribosomal RNA is filed under the name Burkholderia pseudomallei 354a. Its description in RNAcentral is "bacterial LSU rRNA". It matches the Rfam family "Bacterial large subunit ribosomal RNA", at positions 1757 to 2386 of the family's 2925-position model. The record is from RNAcentral. Lineage: Bacteria; Pseudomonadati; Pseudomonadota; Betaproteobacteria; Burkholderiales; Burkholderiaceae.